This 571-nucleotide long non-coding RNA is filed under the name Cricetulus griseus (Chinese hamster). RNAcentral describes it as "lncRNA (ENSCGRG00015030340.1)". The record is from RNAcentral. Lineage: Eukaryota; Metazoa; Chordata; Mammalia; Rodentia; Cricetidae.
AAUGGGACAUUGCUCUUUCUCAAACAGUGAGAUGGAGCUGUACUCAGAGCAGGCAGGUCCAGUUCCCGAUGGAGCAUCUCAAGAAGACUCAUGGAUGGGAGAUCCAAUAAAGUAGAGAGGCAAGUAAUGCUCUCUUUUCAGCUGACUUCGUUCCUAACAUUCCUUUGCAACGGGCGACUCUCCAAGAUAAGUUUCUGUGUGCAGCCUGAGCACAGAGGUUCUGAACAGUUAACACACAGGUCAGAAAGGGUCCCCAGGCUUCCCAGCCUCCCUCUGGUCCUUCCCACCUUCAGGUAGGAUGCAGAGACAGGUACCUCCUUCCUUCCCCAUGGCCACUAGCUGGUGGCCAGAUCCCAAGCCUGCGCCUGGCCCGCCACUUCUGGAGCCCCCUCUCCAGCGUGGCCACGGUGAAAAGCGAGCGACCCUCGGCGCGAGCCACACACUCACGCGCUACCGCUUGUUGCUCCCCGCAGCCGCGACGUGGGGAAGUGAAAAUGAAAUUGACUUUUCCGAGAAAUGAUGAAAGCCGCGCUGCCCGCCAAUGAACAGCGGCGGCGAACUUCCGCACCUC